This is an RNA transcript of Gadus chalcogrammus (walleye pollock), 2166 nucleotides long. RefSeq lists it as uncharacterized. The record is from RefSeq and is a predicted model, not a curated record. NCBI's taxonomy places the organism in Eukaryota, Metazoa, Chordata, Actinopteri, Gadiformes, Gadidae. The transcript is spliced from 5 exons.
CCAGAGUUGGAUGCGUUAAACACUCAUUUGCGGAGCAGCACCUUAAACAGAGCAACAUGGCUGGACAUCCUGUGAGCUCUUUUGGGUUUUUAUGCAUCUCAUGUCUGAUUGGAGGGGUCAUUUCACUACCACUGAAAGACCUCGGCUCAAACGAUCCAUUCCCAGCAUGGAGUGACCACAGCAGUCCUGGCUCUGCUUAUCCCAAAGCUGGUGAUGGAGGCAUGGUGUUUCCUUAUGGCAGAGCAAUGCAAGAGUACUACGGACAAGAGCCUUCAGCUUGGUCCAAGCAGAACAGUGACGCUAAGGCUGAUGGAGGGGUCUACUCAAAUGAAGGCUCGGAUAUGGAUGCUGGAGACUCUGUCUGGGCCAAGAACGGUGGUAUGGACUCUGGUAGUGACGGUUACUACCCUGUUCCUGAAGGCUACUCUAAGGAGCUAGUCCCCUCCAUGGAGGAGGAGACCCCGGAAGAGGAGGAGGAGCCCGUGUUGAGCGACGUCUCUGACCUGGAUCCGGUCUACCACUUCAGUUCCAGGUCCCGCUACCAGCAAGGCAGACAGGCCUUCUUCCUAACCAGAUACAACCCCGGAGAGCCUACGGUCGGCUCUGCUGACAUGGCAGACUCCAAAAGUAAUGGAAUGGGAAAUGGUAAAGGAUGGCCAGUUGUUGCACAAGAGCCUGGGAAGGGUGGCUACUGAUCAACUGCAAUGUCUUAAUUUAUAAUGGCUGUAUAUGAAUAAAUGUUUGCCUUUGAAACCUAUUUACUCUGCUUUGAUACAGUGUUUGCUAAGUUUGAAGAUGUCCAUAAAGCACUUUUGUGUCUCUUCAACAAACUGUUAUCCUGGAUCCAUUAAACUUCGCUAUUUCAAGUGUCUCUGACAAAAUAUUAGGCCCACAGGGUGCCUUCAAAAAUGGAAGUGAAAUGCAGAAUAGUUGGAAGGCCACCAACAUUACAUGUCAAACUAAUUGCAGAGGACUAUACUCUUAAACUAGACUAAUUGGGAGUGCUACGUGCUCUCAAGGACACAACUUUGCAGUUAAUGCUUGCCAAUACUGCGUUCUGGCUAUGGUAUGAUUCGAAAAUGGCGUUUGGAUUAGGAUUUAGGCACCAUAUUUGACGAUGUCUGACACUACAACCAUUUAACAGACCGUCAGUGGCCAGGAUUCUCUGGUAAAAGAGGUUUUUAUUCUCAAUGAGACUUCUGGUUAAAUAAAUUAACAUGGCUUAAGAUAAAUAACUGGCUGCGUGCUAAAGACAUGGAACAAAUGUUUAAUUGGUAUCAAACAAAGGACAAAAUGUAUACUUCAAUCCCUGCUGAUAAAGUUCAGGGCUAUGUCCCUCAAUGUUGCCAGUAUACCUGUAGGCAUCCUUGAAUUAUGUACCUUACUCCUGUUCAUAAAUAGCAUGUACCUAAAAAAUGUGUGCGAGUGCUAAUUGUGCUAACAUUGGUUGCUAAUAGUCAAUGUGGCUGCUGAUGAAGGUCAACCGGUGUGGUUAAUCAGUAAACAAUUGAACUGGAGUGAACAAUCCUUUAAAGAAUCACUGUCCUCUCUGAGGGGUAUUAGUUUACAGGUCCUGGAUAUUGGUUUGCAGAGCAAACCCAGCAAAACCUUCCAACAAACAUGCAAGGUCAACCUGGAUACUGUGUCUGAUCCGGUGUACAUUAUCAUUACCAGUAGAUAAUGGUUUUGGCUCAAAAAUACCUUCACCUGCAUUGACCGACUUGAGCGUUCCAGGCUCUGCUCAUCCCAAAGUUGGUGAAAGUAGUUUGGUGGAUACUUCUAGGAGCACAUCCCAAGAUGACUACAACCUAGAAGGGCCUUUGCCCGGGUCCCGCCAUAGCGGCCACAGAAACACUGAGGCUGGACUCGACAAGCAAACCCCAGAGGGCAGCGAGGCUAGCCACCUGGUGGACUAUGAGGAGCUGGUGUGGAUCCAUGUCCCUGACCUUGAGCCGGGCGACUCCUUCAGCUACCAGCAAGCUGCACAGGUCUCCAUGCAAGCCCCCUAACCUCCCAGAUAGGUCUUGUCCUUGCCCCUCCCCAGACGCUUCUCUCUGCCAGGCCAACCACUAUUUGGGGCAUCUGCAAACUUGCAUUUUUAACUACUAUAACACAUGACUCUUUUGUCAAACUUUUACUAUUUGUAUAAUAAAUCGUCAUCUUUUA